GCAAUGAUAAAAUGCCCUUAAAUUGAGGACACGUUGAUGUCUCAGUGCCGAAAUCGAACCACCAUUUGUUUAUUCUUAUUUUUCUUUUGAACCCAACUCUGAUCUCCAUCUCCAUAGAUAAAACCAGCUCUUUGAAUUUAUGAACUGCGAUUUCAAUAUACCGCCAACGGAGUUAUGGAUGAAAUGGAUUAGGGUAACUAUUGACAAUGCAUUUAAUGAGAAGACGACGCUGAUAAAGAUAAUCAACAUGCAUGUAUUCACAAAUAUUGGAGCUCCAAAGCCACGCCUACACCACUCAAAUCCAAUUCCAGUUAGCUCUUUACACACAUUCUAUCGCGAAUGCCUUUUUUCCUCGAUCUAUAUAACCCAAGAAGAAUGCAUUAACUGGAGGAACAUUAUUGGCCGUUAUUGGAGAUUUAGUUGCUCCAGCUAGUGUUGUUGGACUUGUUGCCUUGGCACCUGCGUUAGAGGCUAUAGUACCCUUUGUUGGUUAUGUUCAAUACGAACCAUGAUCCAAUUUACUUAUUCUGAUGACUUGGCAGUUACAUGAAUUAAUAUGUAAAAGUGUAUUGAUAAUGUGGCUUGGAUGGAAAAGUUGAACUUGCAGGAUUGGAUGGAGCUUAUGUGAAGAUCAGGCUUAGAGGCUGCCGAUUUUGACACAAACAUUUCAUGAUCUUUGGGGAAUUAGAUGAAGCAGAGAAUACUUAAAAUCUUGGAGGUGGCUAUAGAAGAUGAGAAACAACUCGAUGAUAGCCUUGCAAACUUCUAAUUCGAUAUUCUAUAAGUGCACUAAAUUGAACUAAUGAUCUCGAAAUAGGAAAUCCGAACUGAAUCUGUUAAUCUGAAAAAAUUACUCCAGCUAAAGAGGAGGGAGAUCAGGGAUCAAAGAGAAGACGAGUGGUAACGCAUAAUCUUUCGGGAGGAGGCGAAGAGAUAGGAUCAAUCAGAAAAUGCUUGCUUUACAAGAACUUAUACCUAACUUUAAAGGCAUAAUCGAGCAAGCAGGAAUGCAAAGAGGUACACUACAUAUGCCUUGCCACUUUGAUAAUGUCUCAUCCACUCUGCACUAUGCUGUGUGUGGAGGUGUGGGGGAAAUGUAAAGCUUCCAGAUUUAUGUAGAUCAUUGUGGAGCUUCUCAUUAGGGAAGUGAAGCUUGUGACACACUUUGAAACCGGUGGCACCUCGUUCUUAGAAGAGAAGUAGAGCUGCUGAAUUCCACAAUUUAUCAGAAAAGGUGUGUGAUAAUCAUAGUUUAUUGCAUGUAGUUUGUGAAGUUUUUGGUUUCGAUUUGCAAAUCUGUCUCAAACCAUUAGCUAUUUAGCCUAUUUUUGACAAAGGAGGUGAAGCCGGACCAACGAGAAACUCAAAGCACUUAAGAAUUCCACAUUCUUACAAGGGGCAUUAGUAAAGAAAAUGAAAGCGAAGGCCUUAAGGAAGGACUGGAGCAUGUUUAGAUAUGUUUUAGUAAACUUCAUUUGCAAAUGUGGACCAAGUCAAUUAGCCUCCUAUGUUAGUUUAAAUAUUUAUCUUUGUCAGUUCCCACAAAUAUGAAGUCACUCCAUUUUGUAUUAAUGACUCAUUUUACAGAGUAUUAUUGCAUUGCUUUUAAGACACCUACAA
Molecule: non-coding RNA, 1620 nt
Organism: Salvia hispanica
Lineage: Eukaryota; Viridiplantae; Streptophyta; Magnoliopsida; Lamiales; Lamiaceae
Source: RefSeq, a predicted model, not a curated record